Molecule: long non-coding RNA, 1434 nt
Filed under: Homo sapiens (human)
Lineage: Eukaryota; Metazoa; Chordata; Mammalia; Primates; Hominidae
Description: novel transcript, antisense to KIF27
Source: RNAcentral
CUUAACUAGCCCCUAUAACUUCCUGUCACUUGCUCCAAACUAAAACAUUACAAGAUUCACCACUGUGUGUGAUUCUCAGCUAUUCACCUUCUCUUAGCAAUUUUCCCUUGGUUUGGUAAUGAUGAGACACCAACAAUAAAUAUUUGCAGAGGAAGUUCAGAUUCAAAAAUUCAUCUUUCUCUGAUGAAGUAAGGUAAAGGUACCACUGCCAACUGACUGAAAAUUUUGAAAAAAGACAAAGUCUGGGGCAAUUUGACAGCCCAUAAAUGAAUCAUCUUCUACAUAGUUUUAAAAAACUAUAACUAAAACUAUAGUUUUAAAAAAACUGUAUAACUAAAAGGUCUUUUACUGGGAUUGGAAUUUUGUGCAUCUAUUUGGCUGGACAUAGUAUGGACACUGGGCCUUCUAAACCAAGGUUUCAUGGAAAGAAUUAACCCCUAAUUCCUUAGGCAUCUCUUGUAUGUAAUAAAUUACCUAGUAUCAUUCAAGAAAUAUGUAUAGAGAAAAGUCAGGUGCCCUCCAGAAGAGUCCCUCAAAUCAUUUUCUAUGUUCUGUGAUUUCAGACGAGAAACCCCAGCUGAGGAGGCAAAUAUACUCAAGGAAAGUAAUAGUUUCCAAAUGCCUGGCAGUGCCAGGAAGGGGCCAUGUCCAUGGACCACUAUGUAAGGAUAUCUCAGUCUCUAGUCCAGCGUGGUUUAUGGUGCCAAAUAAGUGCCAGGUGAACUCACUACAUCUGACAAAAUCUCAAGGAACCAAGUUUACCAGAUAAUAUUUAUGAUUAUGUGAAAAAGACUGAGGAAAUCACUCAAGUGAUCCAUCAUACAGCACCUCCAGUUCCAAAGAAUACUGACUUACUUCAGCUGUACUGGUCUGGAGCUGCACAUUCUUUUCAGACAACUCUUGUUCCAGUGACUCUUCUCCUGUAACAGAGCCUCCUUCUUAGAAACUAUGGCCUCCCGUUUCUUUAAGUCUGCUUCCAGCUCCUCUAAUUCUUGGCGUUGGUUCAGAACUUUCUCUACUUCUUCAUCUAACCAUUUCUUUUGCUCAUCCAAUUUCUACAUUAAAAUUAAAAAAAAAGUUACUUGUUUUUCCUUCUGCCAUAAAAAUUAUAUGGUAAUAAUAGAAUUUCAGAUUGGCUGAAAUCUCUUAAAUGAACAUUUAAAAACUAUCACUCAGAGUAACUCAGGUAGCCGUCUGAGAUCCUAAAGACAUCAGUGGUUCUAGUCAAGAUGUAGCUAUGUUGUUUUAUAAAGAAUUAAAAUUUACUCCCCAGAUAUGUUAAACAGUCUAGGAUUUUUUAGCCUGACGAAGAAAGGGCUGAUAAUUUUCUAUGCCUAUAUUAAGAACAUGCUGGAAUCUUUUACUCUGUUGUAGUGGUGCACAGUUCCAUCACAGCACUUACACUGGUGGCUGCCCUACGUAUCUAUCUCCCCA